Molecule: long non-coding RNA, 644 nt
Organism: Syngnathoides biaculeatus (alligator pipefish)
Lineage: Eukaryota; Metazoa; Chordata; Actinopteri; Syngnathiformes; Syngnathidae
Exons: 5
Source: RefSeq, a predicted model, not a curated record
GCUGCGCGGGCACUCGCACAGCUCGUGUUGAAGCGGCAGGAUCAUGACACAAAGUCAAACCCGUGUACCACUACACAAUGACUUACCUGAAAUGUAUUAUUUAUUAGACACAGAUUAUUUUUAUUAGACAGGGAUUUAGAACUGUGUAUGGAUAAAAAUAAGAAUUUUUAAAAUACUUUUGACAGAAUAAGAUUCAUCAGAAUUUUGCUGUUCCUAUUCCGCCCUGUCUCUGAGGAUUGAUUCCAGUCAUUAAUAGAUGUGUACUCAGGGCCUGAUGCAUUUCCAACAGACACAUCCAGGACUCUCUCCAGUGUAACCGAAAUAUGUCCACUUCAACUUUACGCCUCACUAUGAGAAGAGGCUGAGGAGACGCCCUCUGAGAAGCAUCUUCACCAUUUGCACAAUCGACUGUGAAGUAUCUGCAACAUUCGCACAAUCAACAUGGUCCAGACCAGGGGUCACCAACGCGGUACCCACGGCCGAAUGGUAGCCCACGAGCACCAUAUAAGGUGCCCGCGAGCCCUGGCUGUGCAGAUCCCCACACACCUGCACUGAUUGGGAUGCGGACACCUGCGCCUCAUCUGCAAUAAUUAACCCUGGAAUAUAGAGGACCCAGCGGACGGUCUGUCUUUGCCAGAUCAUCG